RNAcentral lists this unclassified non-coding RNA (231 nucleotides) under uncultured Inocybaceae. RNAcentral's name for it is "sequence contains ITS1". The record is from RNAcentral. Lineage: Eukaryota; Fungi; Basidiomycota; Agaricomycetes; Agaricales.
UCGAAAUAGCAUGACGAGUUGUCGCUGGCCUUCUGGCCGUGCACGCUCCGUCCUUCUCCAUUUCUCCAUCUAUUUGUGCACCUCUUCCGUAGACCCUUUCUGGGGGGUGGGGACUUCCUCAGAUCAUUAGGACUGCUUUGCAACAUCGGUUUGUGGGCUUUCCUUGUUUCUACGUUCAUACAUACACCAGUGUAACGAUUUGGAACGGAAAGAAAUUUGAUGCAUAUAAUA